RNAcentral lists this ribosomal RNA (333 nucleotides) under uncultured Bacillota bacterium. Its description in RNAcentral is "bacterial SSU rRNA". It matches the Rfam family "Bacterial small subunit ribosomal RNA", at positions 28 to 351 of the family's 1533-position model. The record is from RNAcentral. Lineage: Bacteria; Bacillati; Bacillota.
GACGAACGCUGGCGGCGUGCCUAAUACAUGCAAGUCGAGCGGAUUGAUUUGGAGCUUGCUCCAAUGAUGUCAGCGGCGGACGGGUGAGUAACACGUGGGUAACCUGCCUGACAGACUGGGAUAACGCUUGGAAACGAGUGCUAAUACCGGAUAGGCUUUUGGAUCGCAUGAUUCGAAAGGGAAAGAGGCUAUCGCCUCACUGUUAGAUGGACCCGCGGCGCAUUAGCUAGUUGGUGAGGUAACGGCUCACCAAGGCGACGAUGCGUAGCCGACCUGAGAGGGUGACCGGCCACACUGGGACUGAGACACGGCCCAGACUCCUACGGGUGGCUG